GCAACACUAAGGCUCAGCCUUGCGUUGGCAGACUACAGUUGGUAGCUGCCCAAACUUAGACGGCGUCGCCCCGUGGCCGACGAUGCGCAAAUGCAAGUGUCCAAACGGAGGUGGCAGCCUGUAUCAAUUUCAA
This 133-nucleotide unclassified non-coding RNA is filed under the name uncultured Ascomycota. Its description in RNAcentral is "sequence contains ITS2". The record is from RNAcentral. Lineage: Eukaryota; Fungi; Ascomycota.